RNAcentral lists this ribosomal RNA (500 nucleotides) under uncultured bacterium. RNAcentral's name for it is "partial 16S ribosomal RNA". It matches the Rfam family "Bacterial small subunit ribosomal RNA", at positions 30 to 523 of the family's 1533-position model. The record is from RNAcentral.
AUUGAACGCUGGCGGCAUGCUUUACACAUGCAAGUCGAACGGUAACAGGGUGCUUGCACCGCUGACGAGUGGCGAACGGGUGAGUAAUGCGUCGGAACGUGCCGAGUAGUGGGGGAUAACGCAGCGAAAGUUGUGCUAAUACCGCAUACGUACUGAGGUAGAAAGUGGGGGACCUUCGGGCCUACCGCUAUCCGAGCGGCCGACGUCUGAUUAGCUAGUAGGUGAGGUAAAGGCUCACCUAGGCGACGAUCAGUAGCGGGUCUGAGAGGAUGAUCCGCCACACUGGGACUGAGACACGGCCCAGACUCCUACGGGAGGCGGCAGUGGGGAAUUUUGGACAAUGGGCGAAAGCCUGAUCCAGCCAUGCCGCGUGUCUGAAGAAGGCCUUCGGGUUGUAAAGGACUUUUGUCAGGGAGGAAAUCCCUAGUGCUAAUAACACUGGGGGAUGACAGUACCUGAAGAAUAAGCACCGGCUAACUACGUGCCAGCCGCCGCGGUAA